GAAAAACAAAUAAGGGUAAAAAUAAGAGAAAUUAUAAAAACACAUUAAAAGGGAAAAAUAACCAAACUAAAACAUGGAAAUGCAUAAGUAUAAAUAUAGAAGAAUAUGCAUCAAAAUGCACUGAUCACAUACACAUAUAGAAGACAACAUAACUUUGUAUUUAGUCAUUCAUACAUUACCAAAUAAGAACAAUACUAAUCAUAUUUGGAUAAAAACUUCCUAGUAAUAUACAAAAAUCAAAUUAGACAAAAGUGAAAUAAAAAAUAUAAAACAAAUGAAUAAAAAAAUAUAAAAAUAUUGUGAAACCAAAAAAAAUAAAGGAUGGGAAAUAUUAGAGAAAAGGAAAAGAAAGAAUAGAAGAGAGAAGAGAUUAGACAAUAAAAGACGCGAUAACAACGAAAUUAGAAGAUAAAAUAAUACCUAAAAAUGAGAAGAUGAAAAAAGAGAGCAUAAAAG
Molecule: long non-coding RNA, 456 nt
Filed under: Lathyrus oleraceus (garden pea)
Lineage: Eukaryota; Viridiplantae; Streptophyta; Magnoliopsida; Fabales; Fabaceae
Description: Pisum sativum (pea) long non-coding RNA (PSAT_LNC022657)
Source: RNAcentral